UACGAAGGGGGCUAGCGUUGUUCGGAAUUACUGGGCGUAAAGCGCACGUAGGCGGCGCGUCAAGUCAGGGGUGAAAGGCCUGGGCUCAACCCGGGAACUGCCUUUGAGACUGGCGUGCUGGAGUCCGGAAGAGGGUGGCGGAAUUCCCAGUGUAGAGGUGAAAUUCGUAGAUAUUGGGAAGAACACCGGUUGCGAAGGCGGCCACCUGGUCCGGUACUGACGCUGAGGUGCGAAAGCGUGGGGAGCAAACAGG
Molecule: ribosomal RNA, 253 nt
Filed under: Rhodospirillales bacterium
Lineage: Bacteria; Pseudomonadati; Pseudomonadota; Alphaproteobacteria; Rhodospirillales
Also listed under: 2 other names
Description: partial 16S ribosomal RNA
Rfam family: Bacterial small subunit ribosomal RNA
Source: RNAcentral